This 244-nucleotide long non-coding RNA is filed under the name Elaeis guineensis (African oil palm). RNAcentral's name for it is "long non-coding RNA (EGUI_LNC067486)". Lineage: Eukaryota; Viridiplantae; Streptophyta; Magnoliopsida; Arecales; Arecaceae. The record is from RNAcentral.
GGUUUUGGAUGAGUGAAAAAUCAAAGAGAGAAAAAAGUUCUCCCUCAUUCCACCACUAUAUCAUUCUCUUAAUCAAUCUUCAGCUUCGAAAGAGUUCGAGAGACUCAAGAGGUGUGCAUAUUAGCCAUCAAAAAGAUCUCUAUGCGAGCUAGCACUCCUGAGGAGAUUGAUCAAUGCCAGGGCUUCAUGUGGACAUUUCGUAGAGGCUGGACAUCUUAUGCGGCUGCGAGCAACUAGCAGGACC